Molecule: ribosomal RNA, 476 nt
Filed under: uncultured anaerobic ammonium-oxidizing bacterium
Lineage: Bacteria
Description: bacterial SSU rRNA
Rfam family: Bacterial small subunit ribosomal RNA
Source: RNAcentral
UUCGCAAUGCCCGAAAGGGUGACGAUGCGACGCCGCGUGAGCGAAGAAGGCCCUAGGGUUGUAAAGCUCUGUCGAGGGUUAUGAAAUAUAGAUGGGUUAAUACCCCAUUUAUUUGACAAAAGCCCAAAAGGAAGCCACGGCUAACUCUGUGCCAGCAGCCGCGGUAAUACAGAGGUGGCGAGCGUUGUUUGGUAUUAUUGGGCGUAAAGAGCACGUAGGUGGUUUUGUAAGUCAGGUGUGAAAGCCUUCUGUUCAAAGGAAGAACGGCAUCUGAAACUGCAGAUCUUGAGUGUAGGAGGGGAGAGUGGAACUUCUGGUGGAGCGGUGAAAUGCGUAGAUAUCAGAAGGAACGUCGGCGGCGAAAGCGACUCUCUGGCCUAUUACUGACACUGAGGUGCGAAAGUUAGGGGAGCAAACGGGAUUAGAUACCCCGGUAGUCCUAACCGUAAACGAUGGGCACUAAGUAGAGGGGUUUU